GCAUAUCAAUAAGCGGAGGAAAAGAAACCAACAGGGAUUGCCUUAGUAGCGGCGAGUGAAGCGGCAAAAGCUCAAAUUUGAAAUCUGGCUCUUUCAGAGUCCGAGUUGUAAUUUGAAGAAGGUAUCUUUGGGUCUGGCUCUUGUCUAUGUUUCUUGGAACAGAACGUCACAGAGGGUGAGAAUCCCGUGCGAUGAGAUGAUCCAGGCCUAUGUAAAGUUCCUUCGAAGAGUCGAGUUGUUUGGGAAUGCAGCUCUAAGUGGGUGGUAAAUUCCAUCUAAAGCUAAAUAUUGGCGAGAGACCGAUAGCGAACAAGUACAGUGAUGGAAAGAUGAAAAGAACUUUGAAAAGAGAGUGAAAAAGUACGUGAAAUUGUUGAAAGGGAAGGGCUUGAGAUCAGACUUGGUAUUUUGUAUGUUACUUCUUCGGGGGUGGCCUCUACAGUUUAUCGGGCCAGCAUCAGUUUGGGCGGUAGGAGAAUUGCGUUGGAAUGUGGCACGGCUUCGGUUGUGUGUUAUAGCCUUCGUCGAUACUGCCAGCCUAGACUGAGGACUGCGGUUUGAUACCUAGGAUGUUGGCAUAAUGAUCUAA
RNAcentral lists this ribosomal RNA (589 nucleotides) under Candida tropicalis. Its description in RNAcentral is "eukaryotic LSU rRNA". It matches the Rfam family "Eukaryotic large subunit ribosomal RNA", at positions 38 to 642 of the family's 3401-position model. The record is from RNAcentral. Lineage: Eukaryota; Fungi; Ascomycota; Pichiomycetes; Serinales; Debaryomycetaceae.